CCUACGGGAGGCAGCAGUGAGGAAUAUUGGUCAAUGGGCGUAAGCCUGAACCAGCCAAGUCGCGUGAGGGAUGAAGGUUCUAUGGAUCGUAAACCUCUUUUAUAAGGGAAUAAAGUGCGGGACGUGUCCCGUGUUGUAUGUACCUUAUGAAUAAGGAUCGGCUAACUCCGUGCCAGCAGCCGCGGUAAUACGGAGGAUCCGAGCGUUAUCCGGAUUUAUUGGGUUUAAAGGGUGCGUAGGCGGCCUUUUAAGUCAGCGGUGAAAGUCUGUGGCUCAACCAUAGCAUUGCCGUUGAAACUGGGAGGCUGAAGUAUAUUUGAGGCAGGAGGAAUGCGUGGUGUAGCGGUGAAAGGCUUAGAUAUCACGCAGAACCCCGAUUGCGAAGGCAGCCUGACAAGCCAUGACUGACGCUGAUGCACGAAAGCGUGGGGAUCAAACAGGAUUAGAUACCCCUGUAGUC
RNAcentral lists this ribosomal RNA (460 nucleotides) under uncultured bacterium. RNAcentral's name for it is "partial 16S ribosomal RNA". It matches the Rfam family "Bacterial small subunit ribosomal RNA", at positions 338 to 795 of the family's 1533-position model. The record is from RNAcentral.